UCGCGUAAGAUGCGUCCUGCUGUAAAUAUGGACAAAUAGUAAUUUUGAUGGAAUUUAGAUGAGCAUCAUGUGAGUCGCAGGUGCUCAUAAAGGACCAUCAUAGAUAC
RNAcentral lists this small nucleolar RNA (107 nucleotides) under Triticum aestivum (bread wheat). RNAcentral also lists the same sequence under 2 other names. The record is from RNAcentral. Lineage: Eukaryota; Viridiplantae; Streptophyta; Magnoliopsida; Poales; Poaceae.